Molecule: long non-coding RNA, 886 nt
Organism: Helianthus annuus (common sunflower)
Lineage: Eukaryota; Viridiplantae; Streptophyta; Magnoliopsida; Asterales; Asteraceae
Exons: 4
Source: RefSeq, a predicted model, not a curated record
UUUCAACAAUUCGACAGACGUAUCUUUUUCAGCCAGUGCCGCCGUACACAACCCUAGCUGGUAACGAUCGUCAACAAUGUUAGAGGAAAAGAGGCGACGUGAUCUCAGGGGAACUGAAGAACGUACAUGUUACUCGAUCAUAACAUGUUGAGAAUUCAUAGGUUAUAACAGGGGAUAUUCAACCUUUGCAAUCAUAAACCUUUGUUCAAGGUAUCAUGAGGCUGCGAAAUGCUUGAAAGUCUUCCUGGGAAAGAUUCUUGGAAAGCAAGCAUGGGAUACUUGAUCCGCAAGACACAGUCUCCAGAUUGCCUGAAAAUGUACUUCAACAUAUCAUGUCUUUUCUUCCGCCAUUAGACAAAGAUAAUGUUCGUUUUCUAUCGAGAGAAUGGCGCCGACGAAAUGCGCAAAACCAAACAGUGCUCUGGCUGACUAAGCAGCGGUUAAACGAGUUGGAAUUUCCAAAGGUUUUGAAUGAUGAGUUCCACUCAGUAGAUGAUUAAAUGCCUGGGGAUGAGAAACCUGAAGCUUGUGAAUUUUAAGCUAUUAAUUGUUCACUUGAACCGCUGUGGAAGCUUGAAGAAUUUGUACCUCAACACACCAAAUCUUAAAACUUUAUACUUCCAUGGACCGCGUGGCAAACCAUGCACGAUUGAGCUUAUUAAUUGCAAAAAGUUAAUGAAUUUGCAUUUAGUUGGGGUUGCUAUGAACACUACGAUGUUCGUAAACUGCAACGAAAGUUUUCCGCUUCUUCAGAUGUUGACACUUGCUGGCUGUGCUAUGAGUGGAUGUAUUAACAUCUCAAGGUGUGAUGCAGCUGAUGGGUUUUUAAGUGAUUGGUGGGGGGUAUUCUGGGACCAUUAUACUUCAAAGACACAUGCUGAUUCUA